AAUCCGUGAUGUGGGCAUCUCUUAAGAAAUUCCUUGAAUCUUUCACAUGCUUCAUAUAAUGAUUCAUAAUUCAUAUGCAUAAUUCAUAAUUCAUCUGCAUAAAAUU
Eucalyptus grandis is the source of this 106-nucleotide non-coding RNA. Lineage: Eukaryota; Viridiplantae; Streptophyta; Magnoliopsida; Myrtales; Myrtaceae. The record is from Rfam.